CUCGCUUUGGUAAGAAAAACACUAGAAUUGGAACCAUAGAGAGAAAAUUAGCAUGGUCCCUGUGCAAGGAUGACAUGCAAAUGUGUGAAGUGUUCCAUAUUUUU
Small nuclear RNA from Cervus hanglu yarkandensis (Yarkand deer), 104 nucleotides. NCBI's taxonomy places the organism in Eukaryota, Metazoa, Chordata, Mammalia, Artiodactyla, Cervidae. The record is from Ensembl.